This 8857-nucleotide long non-coding RNA is filed under the name Homo sapiens (human). RNAcentral describes it as "non-protein coding lnc-ZNF627-2:10". The record is from RNAcentral. Lineage: Eukaryota; Metazoa; Chordata; Mammalia; Primates; Hominidae.
ACCCGCGCUCGGCUCCCUGCUCGGUCGGGCUGGAACCUGUACUGGCAGCCGGAGGUGUAGGUAGGAACCGGAAUACCUCGGAAGCCGGGAAAUGACGGAGUUUCAUUCUUGUUGCCCAGGCUGGAGUGCAAUGGCGCGAUCUCAGCUCACCACAACCUCUGCCUCCCACAUUCAAGCGAUUCUCCUGCCUCAGCCUCCCGAGUAGCUGGGAUUACAGUGUGGUGUGUUGAAUAUUAUAGUUUCAAAAUCCUUCAUGUGUGUUAGGACUCAAUGAUCUUUGAGGAUGUGGCUGUGAACUUUACCCAGGAGGAGUGGGCUUUGCUGGAUCCGUCCCAGAAGAAACUCUACAGAGAUGUGAUGUGGGAAAUCAUCAGGAACCUGAUGUCUGUAGGAAUAAAAUGGGAAGACCGGAACAUUGAAGAUCAGUACAAAAAUUCCAGGAGAAAUCCAAGAAAUCAUAUGGCAGAGAGACUCUGUGAAUGUAAAGAUGGUCAAUGUGGAGAAACUUUCAGCCUGAUUCCAGAUGGUAUAAUGAACAAGAACACUCUUCCUGGGGUAAAACCAUGUGAAAGCAGUGUGUGUGGAGAAGGCAACGUGGAUCAUUCAUCUCUGAAUUGCUACAUCAGAGCUGACACUGGACACAAACCGUAUGAGUGUCAGGAACAUGGAGAGAAGCCACAUAAAUGUAAGCAGUGUGUAAAAACCUUCAGCUGCCUCCACUCCUUCCAAACACAUGAAAAGCCUCACACAGGAGAGAAACCCUAUGAUUGUAAGGAAUGGGAAAAAACCUUCGAUUCUCCCCAAACCGUUCGAAGAUACAGGGUAGUGCACAGUGGAGAUGGACCUUAUAAAUGUAAGUUUUGUGGGAAAGCCUUUGAUAAUCUCAGUUUAUAUCUCACACAUGAAAGAUCUCAUACUGGACAGAAGCCAUAUGAAUGUAAUGAAUGUGGGAAAGCCUUUGGUUUUCCCAGCUCCUUUCAUAGACAUGAAAGAAUGCACACCGGGGAGAAACCAUAUGAAUGUAAGCAAUGUGGGAAAACCUUUAGUUGUUCCAGUUCCAUUAAAAAACAUGAAAGAAUCCACACUGGAGAGAAGCCCUAUGAAUGCAAGCAAUGUGGGAAAGCCUUCGCUUCUUCCAAUUCCUUUCAGUAUCAUGAAAGGACUCACACUGGAGAGAAACCCUAUGAAUGUAAGCAAUGUGGGAAAGCCUUUAAUUGUUCCAGUUCCCUUAGAAAACAUGCAAGAAUUCACACUGGAGAGAAACCCUAUAUAUGUAAACAAUGUGGUAAAGCUUUUAGAUUUCCCAGUUCUAUUAAAAAUCAUGAAAAGACUCACACUGGAGAGAAGCCCUAUGAAUGUCAGGAAUGUGGGAAAGCCUUCAGAUAUUCCAGUUCACUUCGAGUACAUAAAAGAAUUCACACUGGAGAGAAGCCGUAUGAAUGUGAGGACUGUGGGAAAGCCUUCAGUCAUCCCACGACCUUUCAUAGACAUAAAAUUACCCACACUGCAGAGAAACCUUAUGAAUGUCAGGAAUGUGGGGAAGCCUUCCGUUAUCCUGUUGCUUUUCGUAGACAUAAAAUUACCCACACUGCAGAGAAACUUUGAGUGUAAGGAAUGUGGGAAAGCCUUCUGUUAUCACAGUUCCCUUCAAAGACAUGAAAGGACUCACAACGGAGAAAAGUUGUGUGGAUAUAAAAAAUGUAAAGCCGGCUGGGUGCGGUGGCUGACGCCUGUAAUCCCAGCACUUUGGGAGGCCAAGGCGGGCGGAUCAUGAGGUCAAGAGAUUGAGACCAUCAUGGCCAACAUGGUAAAACCCCAUCUCUACUAAAAAUACAAAAAUUAGCUGGGCGUGGUGGCAUGUGCCUGUAGUACCAGCUACUUGGGAGGCUGAGGCAGGAGAAUUGCUUGAACCUGGGAGGUGGAGGUUGCAGUGAACCGAGAUUGUGCCACUGUACUCCAGCCAGGUGACAGAGUGAGACUCCGUCUCAAAAAAAAAAAAAAAAAAAGUAAAGCCUUCCACUAUUCCAGUACCUUCUGAAACCAUGAAAGAACUGACACUUGAGAAAAACAAUGAUGUUAGGAACAUGGGAAACCUUUCCUUUCUCUCUCAAUCGUUUGAAGGCAUAUGGUGUGACAUGCUGGCGAUAGACCUCAUAACUGUAAGGAACAUGGAAAACGAUUCUUGUUUUCCAUGCUCCUUGUUUAUUUUAGAUACAUGAAAGAAUUUACUCUGGAGAGAAACUAUGAGUGUAAAAAAUGUGGUAACGCCUUGUGUAGUUUCUGUUUCUCUGAAAUACUGUCAUGUCCUGGUAUUCUCAGGGGAUUAGUUGCAGGCACCCCGCUCCCCACUUCAGAACAUCUAAAUCUGAAGAUGCUCAAGUGCUUUAUAUAAAAUGGUGUAUUUUCCUAGAACCUAAGCACAUCCUCUUGUACACUUUAAAUCAUCUCUAGGUUAUCCAUACUGCCUAAUGCAUUGUAAACGAUAUAAAAAUAGUUGUUUCAUUGUGUUAUUUAGGGAAUGCUGACAAGAAAAAACAUCUGUAGAUGUUUAAUACAGAUAACCAUCACAUGCCCACCUCCAUAGUACAGGCCCACCUCAUAGUAUAUGUCAGCUACAAUGAAACAUUUUCUUUUUUUUUUAAAAAACGUUUUGGAUUGGUUUCAUUUAAUGGCCUCAAAAACACGUGUUAACAUUCUCCAAAUCCUUGGUUCUUCUCUCCUGAUAACCCUCAUGUGAUGAUUGCUCUGUGGUUCCUAAAGCUGCAGUGUGUUGAGGUGCUUAGAUAUGUGGCAGUGUAGAUAAGUCAGGGGACAUCAGUUUAACUUGAAUUUUCUUUUUUUUUUUUUUUGAGAUGGAGUCUUGCUCUGUCACCCAGGCUGGAGUGCAAUGGUGUGAUCUCGGCUCACUGCAACCUCCACCUCCUGGGCUCAAGUGAUUCUCCUGCCUCAGCCUCCCAACCAGCUGGGAUUACAGGUGCCCGCCACCACACCCGGCUAAUUUUUGUAUUUUUAGAAGAGAUGGGGUUUCACCAUGUUGGCCAGGCUGGUCUUGAACUCCUGACGUCGUGAUCUGCCCACCUUGACCUCCCAAAGUGCUGGGACUACAGGAAUGAGCCACCCUGCCCGGCCAGAAUUUUCUUUCAGGACAUCAGGAGGAUCCUCUGCUGGAAGAACCAACAUCUGAUUGCAGAUGUUGCCUCUUUGGUGGAAGAUUGAGACAUCAGAUGGGAGAAAGGCUUGACUAUGUCGCCAGCAGCCUCAUGCCAAAUUCCUGAUUCCUGGAGGACAGAGCCCCCCUCCUGCUCCAAGGCCAGGAGAUGGCGCCACUGGACAGUGAGUCUGGGAUUCCUAGCACACACUUGUGAUUGCUGGUCCAGGAAAAAGAAGCAGGAAGGGCCAUUAGUACAAUCAGUCAGGAAAUUCUGCUUAAGUGCACAUUUCUCCCCAGGAGAGUCGGGUCACUGCACUGGGAGGAAGCCCGCCUGCCAAGGGCUGUGUCUGGAACCUGUUCAUCGCGCUCCACUCAGCACAGUGAGAUCGCCUCUUCUGUUACUCGGUCUCCAGGGGGCGGGACCUGGAGCCGUAUCCAAUCAGGGCCAUGGGGUGGGGUCGUGAGAACUGUGGAUCAGGCGCACUGCAGGGAGGUGGGUGCGCGGCAUCUUCACCCCUCUAAAUGCGGCUCCUACUCUGUAGCUGACAGACACCCACAGACGUGUCUGUAGCAUCCUCUGUCACACUGGGACCCGUACUGGCAGCAGGAGCCGUAGGGAGGACUGGGACACCUGGAAGCCAGGAAUUGGUGAGUGUGCGGGGCUGAGGGUCCCGAGACUAGGAUGGGACUGGUUGGAACCGGCAGGAAUAGACCGUGGCGGGACCCGGGCCUCUUCGUAGUUGACUCUGGGUUCUGAGACCCAAGUCCCCCUGGCGCACCUCGGCCCUGGUUCCUCUCAGGCCGCAGGGUGGGGCUGCGACGGCAGCCGAGACCCCUAGCCGUCCGGUCCAGUCCCUGUGCAACUGACUGUGGCCCCAGGCCCAGCGCCCUCUCUGGUCAGCUCCGCGCCCGCUGCCCCAGUCACGCCCGCUGCCUCCGUGUCUCCCCAGAUUGUACGGGGGCCACUAGAGGGUCAUGGGGGAAAUCCUGCCUCGAGUAUGGGGUUCGUGUGAGAGGAGCUGUAGGCUGUGGGGUCCCCAGUUCCCUCUUUCUCACCAGGGGCUUUUGUAUUUUAUCUGAGUUUCCCAAAUAUACGCGAAGCAGGGUCUCAAAUCCGCGACUGUGGUCCCUAGGCUACCUUCUCCUAAGGCUGGCAGCAAAUUUGGGAUUUCCUGAUCCCUUUCCGCAUUUUAUAACACGGAUUUCCUUUAGUUCACAACAGUAUCACUUCUUCGUCCUCCAGGCUAUGUUUCAAACACAGGCAGUAUUUUAAUCGUCAUUUUUUUAGAGGGCAGUAUAUGGCCGUUUUAAAAAUAUUUGUUUUGUGUUUGUGAACGUUUCAGAGAAAAACCACCUGACACUCCGCUGUAAACAAUCUUUGUGUCUCUUUUUAUCUGCCCUAGGCACAGACACCUUCUGAGAAUGUCUUGGGUUGAGAUUCCCCUUUGGAAACUUUACAGUGAUGCGACCUCAGCCCACCCUCUGCCUUUUCCUGAUCCUGGGUUUCAGGACUACCUGGGGCUGGCCCAAGAUGCCUACAGCUGCCAAGUCUCUUGGGAAAGUCUAGUGAAUAUCAGCCCCUAGGUCGUUCCUCCCAAAGAGCCUGAGGUGUGGCGGUGAGGCCUCCCCAGGGAGCAGCUGGAUGCUAUGGGGUGGGACCAGUCUCCUAUAUCAUUAUUGUAAAAAACUAAUCCCUUGGGACACGCCUUUUCUUCUCCAACCCGUUUCCAUUCCUUGGGGACACAUGGCUAGUCAGCCAAUCAAAUUCUGGUAUGGAGGAAACCAAAUUAUUUCUGUCCUGUAAUCCUAGCACUUUGGGAGGCCAAGGUGGGUGGAUCACCUGAGGUCAGGAGUUCAAGACCAGCCUGGCCAACAUGGUGAAACCCCGACUCUACUAAAAAUCCAAAAAUUAGCUGGGCGUGGUGGUGCACCCUUGUAAUCUCAGCUACUCGUGAGGCUGAGGCAGAAUUGCUAGAACCCGGGAGGUGGAGGUUGCAGUGAGCUGAGAUUGCGCCACUGCACUCCAGCCUGGGCGACAGGGCAAGACUCCGUCUCAAAAAAAAAAAAAAAAAAAGAAGAAAUGAUUUCUGUCCUCUGGAUUCUCUCAGUCUAGUGAAAGAAGAAAACCACCCCCAAUGAGUUGUUGCAAGGACCUGAAAAGCACACAGUUGAGUGUCUUCUGGGAGGGUGGUCACUGAGCACUUCAGGGAGCAGCUUGGAGGUGGGGGGAUGUCCCAAGUGAUAGGAUGAUGUGACCUGACACUUGAGUCAGACACUUGAGUGUUUCAGGUCAGCACUGCCCCUCCCUGGGUUUAUCACCUUGAAAAAAUUGGUUUACUCAUUUCAGCUUCAGGUUUUUUUUUUUUUUUUUGAGACGGAGUUUCACUGUUGUUGCCCAGGCUGGAGUGCAAUGACGCGAUCUCGGUUUGCCGCAACCUCCGCCUCCCAGGUUCAAGUAAUUCUUCUGCCUCAGUCUCCCAGGUAGCUGGGAUUACAGGCAUGUGCCACAAUGCCCACCUAAUUUUGUAUGUUUAGUAGAGAUGGGGUUUCACCAUGUUGGUCAGGCUGGUCUCGAACUCCCGACCUCAGGUGAUCUGCCCACCUCAGCCUCCCAAAGUGCUGGGAUUACAGGCGUGAGCCACCAUGCCCAGCCAUCAGCUUCAGUUUUUUUUUUUUUUUUCUUUUAGGAUUGCUUUUAUGAGCUAGGCAUAUUUGUAUGGGAAGGGGGAAUUUUUUUUUCUUUUUUUAGUAUUUAUUUAUCAUUCUUGGGUGUUUCUCGGAGAGGGGGAUUUGGCAGGGUCAUAGGACAAUAGUGGAGGGAAGGUCGGCAGAUAAACAGUUGUGAACAAGGGUCUCUGGUUUUCCUAGGCAGAGGAUCCUGCGGCCUUCUGCAGUGUUUGUGUUCCUGGGUACUUGAGAUUGGGGAGUGGUGAUGACUCUUAACGAGCAUGCUGCCUUGAAGCAUCUGUUUAACAAAGCGCAUCUUGCACUGCCCUUAAUCCAUUUAAACCUGAGUGGACACAGCACAUGUUUCAGAGAGCACGGGGUUGGGGGUAAGGUUAUAGAUAACAGCAUCCCAAGGCAGAAGAAUUUUUCUUAGUAUAGAACAAAAUGGAGUCUCCUAUGUCUACUACUAUCUACACAGACACAGUAACAAUCUUAUCUUUCUUUUCCCCACAUUUCCCCCUUUUCUAUUCGACAAAACUGCCAUCGUCAUCAUGGCCCGUUCUCAGUGAGCUGUUGGGUACACCUCCCAGACGGGGUGGAGGCCAGGCGGAGGCGCCCCCCCACCUCCCAGACGGGGCGGCUGGCCAGGCGGGGGCUGCCCCCCACCUCCCUUCCUCCUGGACAGGGCAGCUGGCUGGUCGGGGGCUGCCCCCCACCUCCCUCCCGGACGGGGCAGCUGCCGGGCGGAGACCCUCCUCACUUCCCAGACGGGGCAGCUGCCAGGCAGAGGGGCUCCUCACUUUCCCAGACAGGGCAGCUGCUGGGCGGAGGGGCUCCUCACUUCUCAGACGGGGUGGCCAGGCAGAGACGCUCGUCACCUCCCAGACGGGGUGGUGUUCAGGCAGAGACACUCCUCAGUUCCCAGACGGGGUCACGGCCGGGUAGAGGCGCUCCUCACAUCCUAGACAGGGCAGUGGGGCAGAGGCGCUCCCCACAUCUCAGACGAUGGGCGGCAAGGCAGAGACGCUCCUCACUUCCUAGAUGGGAUGGCGCCGGGAAGAGGCGCUCCUCACUUCCCAGACUGGGCGGCAGGGCAGAGGCGCUCCUCACAUCCCAGACCAUGGGCGGCCAGGCAGAGACACUCCUCACUUCCUAGAUGGGAUGGUGGCCGGGAAGAGGCGCUCCUCACUUCCCAGACUGGGCAGCCGGGCAGAGGGGCUCCUCGCAUCCCAGAUGAUGGGCGGCCAGGCAGAGACGCUCCUCACUUCCCAGACGGGGUGGCGGCCGGGCAGAGGCUGCAAUCUCGGCACUUUGGGAGGCCAAGGCAGGCGGCUGGGAGGUGGAGGUUGUAGCAAGCCCAGGUCACGCCACUGCACUCCAGCCUGGGCAAGAUUGAGCACUGCGUGAGCGAGACUCCGUCUGCAAUCCCGGCACCUCGGGAGGCCAAGGCGGGCAGAUCACUCGCGGUCAGGAGCUGGAGACCAGCCCAGCCAACACGGCGAAACCCCGUCUCCACCAAAAAAUACAAAAACCAGUCAGGCGUGGUGGCGCACGCCUGCAAUCCCAGGCACUCGGCAGUCUGAGGCAGGAGAAUGAGGCAGGGAGGUUGCAGUGAGCCGAGAUGGCGGCAGUACAGUCCAGCCUCGGCUCGGCAUCAGAGGGAGACCAUGGAAAGUGGGAGACGAGGGAGAGGCUCAGCAUCAGAGGGAGACCGUGGAAAGUGGGAGACGAGGGAGAGCAGCUUCAGUUUUUUAAUAACUGUAAAAUGCACUAUAUUAUUAGAGAUGGAUGGAGAAGUUAAAGUAUUUCCAAACAUGCCAGAAGAAGGUAGGUUUUGGUAGGUUUUAGGAAAAAAAAAGUCUAGUCUUGUAUUCCCUUAUAAAAAUUCUUAUUUUUCUUCCCAGAGCCUGGGUAGUAAGUUUCUCAGCUCCUUUUUCUAUUGGGUGAUUUCAAAUGGAAUUCUAGGCCUUAGCAUGAAAAUACUACCAGGGAAAAGAAAUAGGGAAAAAAACCUCUCUUCCAUUUUGGUUACAGAAAAAAUGAGUUGUUUUCAAAAGAAAGUGUGGUGGAUUAUACUGGUGAAUUACAAAGAUGUUCCAUAACCUCAGUUCUUCUCCUUCUCAGGUUGAAGAAUUUGUGACCGUGGAUAAGUUCGUUUCCUGUUAUGUGAACUUGGCAGAUUAAUGCUAAAUCCUGUGGGACAGCAUUUAGCAACACCUAAAAAACAUGAUAAAGAAAUACCUGAGACUGGGUAAUUUAUAAAGAAAAGAGGUUGAAUUGGCCCAUGAUUCUGCAGACUGCACAGGAAGCAUGGUACUGGAAGGAUGGCAUCUGCUCAGCUUCUAGGGAGGCCUCAGGAAACUGACAAUCAUGGUGGAAGGCAAAGGGGGAGCAGCAGUUCACACGGCCAGAGAAGGAGCAAGAGAGAGCAGGGCAAGGUGCCACAGACUUUUAAAUGACCGGUUCUCACAAGAACUUACCAUCUCAAGAACAGCACCACAGGGAUAGUGCUAAACCAUUCAUGAAGGACCACCAUCCAGUCACCUCCCACAAGGCCCCACCUUCAAUAUUGGGAAUUACAAUUCGACAUGAGAUUUGGGUGGAGAUUCAAAUCCAAACCAUGUCCUUUUGCUUUUUUCUGUUUUGUUUGUGGAGUAGAUUUUUCUCCAUCCCUUUACUUUGAGCCUAAGGGUGCCAUUGCAUGUGAGAUGGGUCUCUUGAAGACAGCAUACCAUUGGAUCUUGCUUUUUUAUCCAAGUCACCACUGUGCCUUUUAAUUGGGGCAUUUAGCCUGCUUACAUUCAAGGUUAGUAUUUAUAUGUGUAGAUUUGAUCCUAUCAUGUUGUUAGCUGGUUAUUAUGCAGACUUGUUUGUGUGGUUGUUUUAUAGUGUCACUGGUCUAUGUAUUUAAGUGUGCUUUUGUGGUGGCUGGUAAUGGUUUUUUCUUUCCAUAUUUAGCACUCCCUUCAGGACCUCUUGUACAGAUGUUCUCUUUCAUUGUAAUCACACAGGAUGGGCUAUGUCACCCAAAUAACAUGU